Molecule: ribosomal RNA, 253 nt
Filed under: uncultured bacterium
Lineage: Bacteria
Description: partial 16S ribosomal RNA
Rfam family: Bacterial small subunit ribosomal RNA
Source: RNAcentral
UACGUAGGGGGCGAGCGUUGUUCGGAUUUACUGGGCGUAAAGGGCUCGUAGGCGGCCAACUAAGUCAGACGUGAAAUCCCUCGGCUUAACCGGGGAACUGCGUCUGAUACUGGAUGGCUUGAGUUUGGGAGAGGGAUGCGGAAUUCCAGGUGUAGCGGUGAAAUGCGUAGAUAUCUGGAGGAACACCGGUGGCGAAGGCGGCAUCCUGGACCAACACUGACGCUGAGGAGCGAAAGCCAGGGGAGCAAACGGG